Molecule: long non-coding RNA, 824 nt
Organism: Magnolia sinica
Lineage: Eukaryota; Viridiplantae; Streptophyta; Magnoliopsida; Magnoliales; Magnoliaceae
Exons: 3
Source: RefSeq, a predicted model, not a curated record
ACAGUCCGCACCGCUGCACGUGACCGAUGAGGAUUGGCGGAUACUCUGCGAUAGGUUUUCGUCUGAUUCUUUUCAGGUAAUAUUUACAUAUUUAUGAUAUCUUAACGUAAUAAUUAAAUUCUCAAUUAAUAACAAUGUAUUAUGAAUAACGUGUUCAGAAGAGGAGCAAAAUAAAUUCUGACAAUAGAGGAAAGUUAGAAGUGAACCACGUAGCUGGUUCAAAGUCAUUUGUACGACUUCGUCACGACAUGCGAGAUUCCGUCACUGGCCAGGAGCUCGGACCAGUAGACUUCUACAAAGGGACUCACUGUCGGCAGACGAUAGGAUCUUGGGUACAUCCUAGAGCCAGCGAGAUUUGGGUAAAGAUCCUUACAUUGUAAAAUUUAUUUGCAUUAAAUUAUAAUAAUGUCAUUUAUUAUGAAAAUUCAUAUGUUUUCAUUACAAGAGGAGAUGAACACCUUACGCAGUCAGCCCACUCCCGAUGGCACUCAGUGGAGUGAGCCAGAGAUCCUGAGUCAGGUGCUUGGCACCCGUUCUGGAUAUGUGCGUGGGUUUGGCCAUGGUGCCAAGCUCAUGGCACCUGCUAGAGCUGCCUCCAGCCGAUCCAUCGUCGUUGGCGACAGCGCCGUACGCCGAGCUGAUACUGUAGAGAGAGAGGUUCAGCAGCUACGGGUCGUCGUCGAUGACAUCAAAGAUCAGCUAGACAGACAGAGGGAGGAGCAGAGGAGGAUGGAGGAGAUGCGGGUGGAGCAUGAGCGACGGAUGAUGGAGAUGUUUCAGGUUAUCGCUGCACGCUUAUCCACCGAUGCCCUAGCGCCUCCGCC